UACGGUUUUCAAUGUUCUGAAAUAUCGAUUACUUUUGUUAUAAUGAUCACAGUUUCUAUUUUAGUUUUCCGCUUUUUGUUAUUAUUCAUUCCUCGAGAAGAUGAAUAAUUUUGGUUGAAACAUUUCUUCAGGAAUUGUCCAAUCGAAGGUGAAGGACUCAUCAGGUGAGCAAAUUGGUGUCCCAGGGGUCGGAAGUUUUUCCAAGGUAUUAGUUCCUGAGUAGAUAGAGACGUCGCAGAAGUUGAAAUUCUGAGGUGUAUGGGAUGAAAUUCGUAGAUUUCCACCCACUAUCCUGUUCGCAGCGCCAGUUAAAGCGAACCUUUAUUACACUUGAUAUUAUAACUAUUAUACGCAAUGAUGGAAAACGAAUAAACUAACAUAGGUUUGACCUAUAGAGUGGACUGUUGAAUGAAUGAUUUUUUUUAUGUUUUCGUGGGGAAAUCUUCAAAGGACACCCAAUCGUCCGUACUACUGAGGAUUCCCGAGGAAGAAGUCCUCGGAUCUACCAACUAAAGCCCCUCUACCUCAGGCCGUUCUAGGGCCACAUAGAUCUUCUUCGUUUUGUAUUGAUUUGUGUAGGGAUUGGGGUAAUUGGGAUGCUGUUGUAAAGUGUGUUGGACGGAAAGUGUUGGUCUAAUCUUGCGACUUUGCGUAAAAUGCGUCGUUCGAUUGCAAGAAUCCUGUGUUACAAGUUUUAAUACGCCCGUUUAUUAACGAAAUUAGGUUAGCGCGUUUCCGUACUUCGGCAGGAGGAUCGACGCACUCUACCAGUGCAGUCUUUGAAGGAGUGAGGGUUUUGGGAUCAAGUCGUUUAGGACAUUUGCUGUCAAAGGCUAGGUGUUUGCCUUUACAGUUGGUGCAGGAAGGAGAGGACAUACACGUGGAAGGAUCGUGCAUUAAACCGUAGCGGUAACAGAGCGGUUGCUGGUGACAGGAAGAAGUGUUGUGGCCAAAUGUGAAGCAUUUGCCAUACUAAAGCGGCUGAGGGCCGGAAGAUUGUGACGGUUCGCAGCGAUAGUUCCUAGAGAACAUCGUAAAGCCUUUAUAAAGCAGGGUGUCAUGGGCAGUUAGAAAUAAUACGGAACAGAAAGGUGUCUUGUUCGGUUUGCCUCGACAUACUGCGCCAGGCGUUUUGGCUUAGAUGUUUUGAUGCUUUUAACUUAAGCAUUGCUAACUUUUUCUCGUGUGCUUGAUUGAAAUGUAUCUUGAAAAUAAAUAACUAAAACUGUGAACUGCUUUUGUAUUA
RNAcentral lists this long non-coding RNA (1246 nucleotides) under Agrilus planipennis (emerald ash borer). RNAcentral describes it as "uncharacterized LOC108743785". The record is from RNAcentral. Lineage: Eukaryota; Metazoa; Arthropoda; Insecta; Coleoptera; Buprestidae.